RNAcentral lists this ribosomal RNA (1519 nucleotides) under uncultured bacterium. RNAcentral's name for it is "partial 16S ribosomal RNA". It matches the Rfam family "Bacterial small subunit ribosomal RNA". The record is from RNAcentral.
AGAGUUUGAUCCUGGCUCAGGAUUAAUGCUAGCGAAAUGACUAAUACAUGCAAGUUGAACGGGAAGAGCAAUCUUUCAGUAGCGAACGGGUGAGUAAUAUAUACCUAACCUGCCUAUAUAUCAGAAAUAACAACUAGAAAUGGUUGCUAAUAUUUGAUAGUAUGGUAAGAAAACAAUUUUUUAUCAUUAAAGGGGCAAUUGCCUCGUAUAUAGAUGGGGGUAUACCACAUUAGCUUUGGCGUAAGGUAAUGGCUUACGUAGGCGAUGAUGUGUAGUUGGCCCGAGAGGGCGACCAGCCACACUGGAAUUGAGAUAAGGUCCAGACUCCUCCGGGAGGCAGCAGUAAGGAAUUUUUCACAAUGGACGAAAGUCUGAUGGAGCAAUUUCGCGUGCUCGAUGAAGGUCUUAGGAUUGUAAAGAGCUGUCGCAAGGGAAAAAAAGAAAGAUAAUUGGAAUGUAUCUUUUUUGAUGGUACCUUGCUAUUAGUUACGGCUAACUAUGUGCCAGCAGCCGCGGUAAUACAUAGGUAGCAAGCAUUAUCCGGAAUUAUUGGGUGUAAAGCGUGAGUAGGCGGUUUAUUAAGUCUAUGGUCAAAUAUCAAGGCUCAACCUUAGAUGUGCCAUGGAAACUAAUAGACUAGAACGUAAAGGAAGGUAGUGCAAUUCUGCAAGUAAUGGUGAUAUAUUUCGAUAUGCAGGAGAACACCUGAGGCGUAGGCGACUAUCUAAUUUAUUGUUGACGCUCAAUCACGAAAGUAUGGGUAUCGAAUAGCAUUAGUCCGCUAGUAGUCCAUACAGUAAACGAUGAGCACUAAAUAUUGGCAGUAUUGUCAGUCAUUAAAGUUAACACGUUAAGUGCUCCACCUGAGUAGUACGUUCGCAAGAAUAAAACUCAAAGGAAUUGACGGGGACUAGCACAAGUGGUGGAGCGUGUGGUUUAAUUCGAUUCUAAGCGAAGAACCUUACCAAGGUUUGACAUUUGGUGCAAAGCUAUAGAAAUAUAGUGGAGGCUAUCAUCAAACAGGUGGUGCAUGGUUGUCGUCAGUUCGUGUCGUGAGAUGUAAGGUUAAGUCCCAUAACGAACGCAACCCUUCUUUUUAGUUGCUACCAUUAAGUUGAGGAAUCUAAAAAUACAGUUAGCGUAAGCUAAACGGAGGAAAGGAUGAUGACAAAUCAUUAUGCCCUUUAUACCUUGGGCUACACACGCGCUACAAUGGUCAAUACAAUAAGUUGCAAACCAGCGAUGGGGAGCUAAUCUUUAAAAUUGAUCUCAGUUCAGAUUGAAGUCUGCAAUUCGACUUCAUUAAGUAGGAAUCACUAGUAAUCGCAAAUCAGCCACGUUGCGGUGAAUACGUUCUCUAGUCUUGUACACACCGCCCGUCAAACCAUGAAAGUUGAUAGUACUUGAAGCCAAUACUAAUAACCAUUUUUGGAUUUAUUUGUCUAGAGUAAGAUCAGCGAAUUGGGGUUAAGUCGUAACAAGGUAUCCCUAUGAGAACUUGGGGCUGGAUCACCUCCUU